GGCUAAGGAUGAAUAUAUUUAUCUAAUUGCUUAAUUUAAUAGCUUUAUAAAGUUUAACUAUGGUUAGAUGGGGAUCGUGGCAUAAGUUAAAGGAUAUAGCUUAGGGUGAGUUAACUAAAGCUUAAGGCUAUAAAUAGGAGUCAUUAGUGUAAACAUAGCUCACACCAAUCUCUAUUAUGGAUUUACAUACCAAAAUUCUCUUGCAAUUAUUCUCUCCCUCAUAUAUUCACUUAUUUCAUUUUAGAAUGAAGCCUUAGCUCCGCUUAAUAUGUCACCAUAAAACCAAACACCACCCACAAACCAUUGUUUUCUUGUCCAUAUUAACUCAAGGCUAAGACACUAAGUUAAUAUCAUCCUCUCAUAUAUCUUACAUCAUAUUAGCGUCACCAUCUAUCAUUUGAAGUUCAAGUUUUGGUGCUCAACUAGAUCUCAUUGGAAGCUAAUUAAGGUUUUUCAUAAGAAACUCAUUAUUGGUUUUCAAGGAUCACUCUUAUUGCAAUCAAGGCUAGAACUCCACAUUCGAGGUAAGGAAAUUAAGUAGAAAAACUUAAGUUUUCUGUAUGUAAUAACAUUCAUAGGAAGAGUGGGAAUAGUAAAAGAGAAGUUAACUAAGGUCUUCUGCCUGACUCUUUAUUGUUUGUUAUUUAAUGUACUGUAUAAUAUAUAUUUAAAUAAUAUGUUUAUAAGAUUCAUGUUAUUUAUGUAUGUUUACAGUAUUAGAGCAUGGUCAUUGCUAAAGGUAUAUAUUUAAAUAAUAUGUUUAUAAGAUUCAUGUUAUUUAAGUAUGUAUGUAAAUAGUGUGUUUAUAAGAUUCACAUUAUUUAGUUAUGAUUGUUAUGUUAUUUAAAUAAUGUAUAGUAGUUUGACAUUAUUUAAAUUAGAUAGAUUAUAGUUUAUGUGACAUGGUUUGACCGAGAAGAUAAUGGUUAAAUACUUGAUUCUUGGGUCUAUAUGGUAGAUAGGGGGCCAUUUAGUAGUGGGUACGAUUUUACUGAACCCAGCCCUCCGCCAUUUAGUCCAAUAGCUCGGGUUUAUUUGCCAAAGUCGAACUUGGGCGUAAUCAUUUUAUGUGAUUUAGCUUAGAACCUAAUUAUUAGCUACUAGUGAUAUGGUUAAGUUUAUGUAUUGCUAGUUGUCAAUAUAUGAGCAUGUGCAUUUUUAGUUAAGUUUUAUUUUUAUUUUUUUUGUUUAUGUGACUACCUGACACACAUUUCCUUACUGAGUUUAGUAGCUCACCCUUAUCAAAUUACCAUGUGCAGACCAAGGUAACUGAAAGUUUAGAAAGUCGGUGGCGAGUGGAAUUUUGGACGCUUGUGUGUGUGAACUCGCUGAGGACCAUAUAACUGUGGGCGGUCUAGGGCGCUCUGUUUAUUUAUUUACGCUAUUAAACUUAUGUCGCAAUUAUUUUAGUUAUUAUUUAUUAUGUCUUUUGUACGAAAACUGGCCAGUUGUGAAUAUUUUCAAGUAUUAAAUAAAAAUGCGACAUUAUGAUUUUC
Long non-coding RNA from Cannabis sativa, 1496 nucleotides. RefSeq lists it as uncharacterized. NCBI's taxonomy places the organism in Eukaryota, Viridiplantae, Streptophyta, Magnoliopsida, Rosales, Cannabaceae. The transcript is spliced from 2 exons. The record is from RefSeq and is a predicted model, not a curated record.